RNAcentral lists this long non-coding RNA (5499 nucleotides) under Homo sapiens (human). RNAcentral's name for it is "HSALNT0391735". Lineage: Eukaryota; Metazoa; Chordata; Mammalia; Primates; Hominidae. The record is from RNAcentral.
ACCCUGCCGCUGACAGCCUCUGGCCAAAGCCCUCGGCUCCCCCAGGGCCUGGACCACCGUCUCCCUUUGCCUGGGCCUGGCUGGCCCUCUCUUGAAACAGAGAGAAGAAAACAAAUCCAUUCCACGGGCUAGGGAAUGUCGGUGAAACAACCUGGCCACACCGCACUUCUUAGAAGCAAAUAUUCUAUGGGAGAAACAAUCACAAGGGGUAACUCUAGAGCCUCAAGCACUGAAGUCAUCAACUGAGUUGGUGACACUCCAAACCCCCUUGGGCUGGGGUGCAAGAGCUGACGGACGCAGCCUUGGCGGCCACCUUCUCCUUCAAGCUCCUUGGCCAGGUGGGAGCCGUCAGGUCCACAUGCACACCUCCAACACUUCCCAAGCGAUGGCCAGCGCUAAAGCAGAAGCAAUAGGAUGACAUCUGCUGGUGCGUCUGUAUCCAGGCCGGGCAUACGUGUGCUCUGGAGGUGCCCCUGAGGGAGGGGCCUCAGAGCAGCAGGGGGAAGAGUCUGGCUCCUGGAACACAUAGUGUUCCCUGCUUGGGGGAGACUUUCCUGCCCUCCUUCUUCCUCCUACGUCCUUGCUCUGUGGGCCAUUCCUUCUCUUCUAGCCUUACUGGAAACAACAUUCUUCCAACUGAAGAUGUAACUGAGGCCUGAAUUAUGGUAAAGGAAGAUUAUUACAACAGCCUUUAAAAUACUUGCCUAAGCUGAGCUCCUGAAGAAACUUGGACCUGUCUCCUUGACCACGCCUUUAGUACGUCUGCCGGCCCGAGAGUCCUCUUUUACAGUAAUGUUGACCAUAUUCCUAACUAAAGCAAGACCUGACCAGCUGCCAAAUAGUCCUCCCCCUCCCCCCAGUGGAAGAAAUGGCUACUGCUAUUCAACACUGAGAAUGCCAGAACAGCUCUGUGGGGCUCCACUGAAAACCUGCAGCAGGGAGGCUGAUGAUGGGAGCUGCUUAGAGAGCUUCCGAAUCUACUUCAGGUAAAUAUGGACCUGUAUGUAUCUCCUGCAGCACCCGCACCUGACAUCCAUGGCUCUGAGGCCCAGAAAGAGCUGAGGAGGUCAUAGAGAUCAUCAAUGCUCUGCUUGCUUUGAUGUACCAUUAAGAAGACGAUCUUUCCUCUAACAGCCCCAUACAACUGAGCAGCGCCACCACGUCAUACCGGUACCCUUUUCUUUACCCCUUAAAGAAUACCCAGGAAAGAAAGAUAACUAAAGGAAGUAAAGGACCAGAUCUUUUACCACCUUCCUGCGUGGGUGAUCCAUCCUCUUCCUCUAUAACAUCAUUUCCCUAGGACAGAAGGAAGGCCCUGUGAGUCUAUGAAGCGGCAAAAUGAGUAAACUGAUUGGCUGAAGACAGAACUAAUCAUCCUACUGGUAUCUAACUCCAGGGCCUACGUUAAUAGCAUAUAUUUCCAUCUGUGUUUAAUAUGCCUCAGAGGCUGAGUAGAGGCAGAUCUUGCUUGGAGAGGCACCAUCUGCCUACAGGGAUUAGAUCCGAGCCACAUUACCCAUAUAUGCUCAGAAUGGUCUGUCAGGAACACCCUUGUUAAUAGUUUAGCUGAUACUGUUUCUCUAAGGUGGAAGUAAAAAUUACUAAAUGAAAGAGCAAAUUGUGAGAUCAUAAGACUUUCAGAAAUCCCUUAAGAUCCCAAACCCCAUCCAGAUCCUCCAUUGACAGGAGUUGGCUCAAGAAGAGUUCUAGGGCUCUCACUGUGAGCUGGCGUUCCACAGCACACCAUGGUCAGGGCACGUCUCACACUGAACUGUGGUCCUGUCUGCCUGCUAGACUGGGCUCCUAGAUGGGUGCAGUGGGCUGGGGGUAGGCAGAAACCUCACCACACAGGUCUGUAUAGGUCUAUAUGUGCCCUAGCACCAGUAGAGCACCUGUGACACAGUCCUCCAUGUAAAUACUAGUGGAAUGAAGGACAAUAUAUUCUCAAGGCCAGGGGCUGGCCAGAAAAGUUCCCUCUUGAACUCACUCCACACCAGUGACCCUGGGAACCAGUGGCCCCACUCACUGGACAGUCCACAGGCCCGGGAGCAGCUGCUCUCAUCUCUACCCACAUUCCACUUCUCACUGAUCUAGGCAUGUCCCCUAGGAAGGCUUCGUCAGCGCAGCCUCCUGGCCCUGGUCCUUACUGGCAUCCCCAGCCAAGGCCAGCACUCCUCUGGUUGUGGGAAGGGGGCACCACUCCGUGCUGUUGGGGUUACCUCUGCAUCCUGCUCUCCAGCUGGGAGGCCAGCAAAGUUGCUGUCUGGAGACUCCGCUGGCAGCCCCUGCAGAAGAGCACAGUUUUUACAGGCUCUUCCAUAAAGGUCUCGUGACAGCAAACCCAAACCUUCUUCAGAACAAAAUUGGUGUCAAAUAGGAGGGUCAGACCUAAGGGAAUGCCUUGUUUUCUGCAGCACUCCUGGCAUUUUGGGGGCUUUGCAGCCAUGCAUGGCAGACCUUUGGUUAUGCUACUUUGGACAUGUGCACAAAGAACAGAGAAGCCAGGGCGGUUCCCGUCCCUUCCCUUACCUCUCCUUCUUCUGAGGGGGCCCUGCUGGCAGGCUGGGGGGAAGAGAGAGCCUCUCCCUCCUCUUCAGUGCCAGGGGCGAUGUAGGAGCCAGACAUGGAGGAGACGGUGUCAGUGCUGAUCUGGGAGGAUGCCAUGGACAUGACAGACUGGGCCAAGCUGCUGCUGGCAGGGCCUUUGGAGACAGGGGAUGGGGAAAGGAGCCUGGAGGUCAGGCAGGGCUUCUGCAAGCUUUCUGGGGAGCAGAGCCCUCUCCCUGCAUUCAGGCAUUGAGGAGUGAAGUGGCCGUAUCUUGCCCUCCCCUAAAAGUGGUUUUAGGUUUAUGGUUUUCCAAAAUUCUGCUCCUUUAUAUUUUAGAGCUCAGAACUCAGCCUUGGGGACAAGACAUUUGCUUUUCCCUGUCAUAAUGCUAAAGGAAACCUCAUUACAGGAGGACUGGGGCUGAGAGAAUUAACACCCCACUAGCUACAGGCAAGCCUGCUAUCCCAUGGUAGGAAAGCAAGUCCUCUUCCCUCUCAAGCCAGGGCCUACUUGUCAUGCAGUACAGGUAUUAGCUUGCCACUCCCAUGUCCCUUCCCGGAAGAAGCACCAGGACACUGUGGGCUGGGUAAGGGGGAAGGACAUGCAGCCACUCCCCGCUCCUUAUGUACCUUCUGGGGAGGAAAUAGUGGAUGACAGAGGCGUCCCUGUGCAAGACGACUGGUCAAUAGCUCCAGAUGACGACAAGGUGAGAUUCUCACUUUCUGGAGUCACACCACAUUCCUGGGGGUUGUGGGGGGACACAACAGGACAUGGAGCAAGCGCCAGUCACCUGUGCUGGAGGAAGGGGUCAGGGCGGAGGUCUGGGUAGAGAUGAGGAGGAAAGGCGACACUGGGAGGGACUGAGUGGCAUGCAGAGGCCGCAGCUUCUCUCUUCCGUCCUCACUUCAGCCCAAGCCUGGAAUGACUGCCUCCCAGGGGAGGCGCACACUUCAGUCAACACCUCCUGCCCAGGGCACAGCAUCUGCUGCGGCCAUACAAAGACUGCAGCUCGGGUGACACAGGUCACCCUGCAGCUGUGACAUGGGGACACCCCAGGUUUCCCCAGGAUUAUGAUCAGCUUUCCUUCUGCGGCAAAAGCAUACAAAGCCAGCAGAGGACUUCCUGCCUGCAGGGUAUCUCCACGUGGACCCCAGUUAAUUCCUGCCCAGCUGCUUUCUGAUACAAACACCACCUUGCUCCCCAGCCUGCUGCUCCUCCCACACCCCCACCUCCGAUCCCAGCCCCGACCUGUCAGGCAUCUGGGUGCACAGCCUCACCCGUCCAAGAUGGAUGCAAAGUUCUACGAACUGUAUCUCCAUAAUCCCUUCCCUUCCCUCCAGGCGCUCCUCUUUUGUCUUAGUUCACGCAGUCCUUCUUUUUUUUUUCACUUUUUUUUUUUGAGAUGGAGUCUCGCUCUGUUGCCCAGCCCAGGCUGGAGUGCAGUGGUGCGGUCUUGGCUCACUGCAACCCCUGCCUCCUGGGUUCAAGCGAUUCUCCUGCCUCAGCCUCCCGAGUAGCUGGGACUACAGGUGCAUGCCACCACACCUGGCUAAUUUUUUGUAUUUUUAGUAGAGACGGGGUUUCACCAUGUUAGCCAGGAUGGUCUCGAUCUCCUGACCUCGUGAUCCGCCCGCCUCGGCCUCCCAAAGUGCCGGGAUUCCAGGCGUGAGCCUCCGCGCCCGGCCAGUCACACAGUCCUUCUUGCCUGGGCUACUGAAACCCUCUCCUGGCUGGGUCUGUCUCCCGUCUAGUCCAGGCUGCACACUGCGGUCGGGUGGGCCUUUGGGGUGUGAAGCACUCACUGUGCCCCUGGCUUGCUCCGAGCCCCGACUUCCUGCUCUGUGCCUUUGCAUGCAUCGUCUUCUCCACAUGGAUGUUUCUCUCACCUCUUUCUCCAUGUCUAAAAAACUUCCAGGUUUAGCUAAAAUGCUAUUCCUCCAUAACACAUUUUCUGAUUUCCUCCACUUACAAUGAUCUUUUCCAUCUCUGACACAGCAAUUUAUCGUCUCUGUUUUGGGCAUACUUCUUUUUUAUAAAAUUUACUUAGUCAUUGAACAAAUACUUACUGAGCAACAACAACGUGCCAGGCACAUGCUAUUCCCAUGUAUAUGUCCUGUCCCAGCCAGACCUGAGCACCUAAGGGCAGGGACCACUUUAUUUACCUUCCUGUGCCCUGCUGUAUCUAGCUCAGUGCCCUACAGAGAGAAGCUGCAUAAACCUUUGUUAAGUGAGGUCUCUGUGGGACGCACAGAGUAGAAAAUUCCAGCCUUCUCUUCCAUUCUUCCACAUGGGCCUCCCGACACCCCCCACUUACCCCCAGGACUUUCUCCUUGCUGUUCCCAGACCUAGGGCCCUCUCUCCUCGUAUAUCUGCAUAGCUAGCUCUACCACUUCCCUUGGUCUUGGCUCCUGGACCGCUUUUUAAGAAUGGCAGCCCCCACUUCCAGCCGUGACACUCCCUUCCCACAUGUCACACAUGCUGAUCCACAGCACCAUCAGGCACACAUGUAUUUUUUUACCUAUUGUCUUUUGUGCCCCCCACCCCAGAUAGCAAGAAUAUAAAUGCUACAAGGGCAGGGACUUUUGUAGUGUCCCAGCUACUAUCCUCAGCAUAUAGCACAGUGCCUGGCAAAUAAUACAGGCUGCAUACACUGUUGAAUGCAUGAAUCCAGUGAAACCUUUGCCACUGCCUCAGAGGGUGCUGACAAGGUGUUUGAUGAGUGAAUGAGAGCAGAGGGACCUGAUGAGGCAUGCAGGUAGGAGGGAAGUCCCUGGAGUACAACACCCAAGAAGAGGAGAGGAAUGUCAAUUACCUCUCCGAGAUGCUGAACCGACGGUCUCUGAGAGAGCUGUGUCUCCGACUCGCUGCAGGAAUGCUCAUCUUCCUCUUCAUGCAGCACGGAAGAGUUUUGGGAAGUGGAUCUGUAGGAGUCCAGUGGAAAAGCAGCUAUA